UACGGGGGGAGCGAGCGUUGUUCGGAUUUACUGGGCGUAAAGGGCGCGUAGGCGGCCAGCACAAGUCAGUUGUGAAAUCUCCGAGCUUAACUCGGAAAGGUCAACUGAUACUGUGCGGCUAGAGUGCGGAAGGGGCAACUGGAAUUCUUGGUGUGGCGGUGAAAUGCGUAGAUAUCAAGAGGAACACCUGCGGCGAAGGCGGGUUGCUGGGCCGACACUGACGCUGAGGCGCGAAAGCCAGGGGAGCGAACGGG
This 254-nucleotide ribosomal RNA is filed under the name uncultured bacterium. Its description in RNAcentral is "partial 16S ribosomal RNA". It matches the Rfam family "Bacterial small subunit ribosomal RNA", at positions 524 to 776 of the family's 1533-position model. The record is from RNAcentral.